GAUGAACGCUGGCGGCGUGCCUAAUACAUGCAAGUCGAGCGAACGGACGAGAAGCUUGCUUUUCUGAUGUUAGCGGCGGACGGGUGAGUAACACGUGGAUAACCUACAUAUAAGACUGGGAUAACUUCGGGAAACCGGAGCUAAUACCGGAUAAUAUUUUGAACCGCAUGGUUCAAAAGUGAAAGACGGUCUUGCUGUCACUUAUGGAUGGAUCCGCGCUGCAUUAGCUAGUUGGUAAGGUAACGGCUUACCAAGGCAACGAUGCAUAGCCGACCUGAGAGGGUGAUCGGCCACACUGGAACUGAGACACGGUCCAGACUCCUACGGGAGGCAGCAGUAGGGAAUCUUCCGCAAUGGGCGAAAGCCUGACGGAGCAACGCCGCGUGAGUGAUGAAGGUCUUCGGAUCGUAAAACUCUGUUAUUAGGGAAGAACAUAUGUGUAAGUAACUGUGCACAUCUUGACGGUACCUAAUCAGAAAGCCACGGCUAACUACGUG
Molecule: ribosomal RNA, 497 nt
Filed under: uncultured bacterium
Lineage: Bacteria
Description: partial 16S ribosomal RNA
Rfam family: Bacterial small subunit ribosomal RNA
Source: RNAcentral